Non-coding RNA from Triticum aestivum (bread wheat), 135 nucleotides. The record is from Rfam. Lineage: Eukaryota; Viridiplantae; Streptophyta; Magnoliopsida; Poales; Poaceae.
AUAGUACUCCCUUCGUCCGGAAAUACUUGUCAUCAAAAUGGAUAAAAAGGGAUGUAUCUAGAACUAAACUAUGUCUAGAUACAUUCCCUUUUAUUCAUUUUGAUGACAAGUAUUUCCGGACGGAGGGAGUAUAUG